CCUACGGGUGGCAGCAGUGGGGAAUAUUGCACAAUGGGGGAAACCCUGAUGCAGCGACGCCGCGUGCGUGAAGAAGUAUCUCGGUAUGUAAAGCUCUAUCGGCAGGGAAGAAAAUGACGGUAACUGACUAAGAAGCCCCGGCUAACUACGUGCCAGCAGCCGCGGGAAUACGUAGGGGGCAAGCGUUAUCCGGAUUUACUGGGUGUAAAGGGUGCGUAGACGGCGCAGCAAGUUCGGAGUGAAAGCCCAUGGCUUAACCAUGGUACUGCUCUUGAAACUGCGUACCUUGAGUGCGGGAGGGGAAGGCGGAAUUCCUAGUGUAGCGGUGAAAUGCGUAGAUAUUAGGAGGAACACCAGCGGCGAAGGCGGCCUUCUGGACCGUAACUGACGUUGAGGCUCGAAAGCGUGGGGAGCAAACAGGAUUAGAUACCCCAGUAGUC
RNAcentral lists this ribosomal RNA (440 nucleotides) under uncultured bacterium. RNAcentral describes it as "partial 16S ribosomal RNA". It matches the Rfam family "Bacterial small subunit ribosomal RNA", at positions 338 to 795 of the family's 1533-position model. The record is from RNAcentral.